This 384-nucleotide ribosomal RNA is filed under the name uncultured bacterium. RNAcentral's name for it is "bacterial SSU rRNA". It matches the Rfam family "Bacterial small subunit ribosomal RNA", at positions 30 to 414 of the family's 1533-position model. The record is from RNAcentral.
AUUGAACGCUGGCGGCAUGCUUUACACAUGCAAGUCGAACGGUAACAGGGAGCUUGCUCCGCUGACGAGUGGCGAACGGGUGAGUAAUAUAUCGGAACGUGCCCAGUCGUGGGGGAUAACGCAGCGAAAGCUGUGCUAAUACCGCAUACGAUCUAUGGAUGAAAGCGGGGGAUCGCAAGACCUCGCGCGAUUGGAGCGGCCGAUAUCAGAUUAGGUAGUUGGUGGGGUAAAGGCCCACCAAGCCGACGAUCUGUAGCUGGUCUGAGAGGACGACCAGCCACACUGGGACUGAGACACGGCCCAGACUCCUACGGGAGGCAGCAGUGGGGAAUUUUGGACAAUGGGCGCAAGCCUGAUCCAGCAAUGCCGCGUGCAGGAAGAAGG